RNAcentral lists this ribosomal RNA (490 nucleotides) under uncultured bacterium. Its description in RNAcentral is "bacterial SSU rRNA". It matches the Rfam family "Bacterial small subunit ribosomal RNA", at positions 215 to 697 of the family's 1533-position model. The record is from RNAcentral.
UCACUUUAGGAUGAGCCCGCGGCGCAUUAGCUAGUUGGUGGGGUAAAGGCCUACCAAGGCAAUGAUGCGUAGCCGAGUUGAGAGACUGAUCGGCCACAUUGGGACUGAGACACGGCCCAAACUCCUACGGGAGGCAGCAGUAGGGAAUCUUCCACAAUGGACGAAAGUCUGAUGGAGCAACGCCGCGUGGGUGAAGAAGGUUUUCGGAUCGUAAAGCUCUGUUGUUGGUGAAGAAGGAUAGAGGCAGUAACUGGUCUUUAUUUGACGGUAAUCAACCAGAAAGUCACGGCUAACUACGUGCCAGCAGCCGCGGUAAUACGUAGGUGGCAAGCGUUGUCCGGAUUUAUUGGGCGUAAAGCGAGCGCAGGCGGAAUGAUAAGUCUGAUUUGAAAGCCCACGGCUCAACCGUGGAACUGCAUCGGAAACUGUCAUUCUUGAGUGCAGAAGAGGAGAGUGGAACUCCAUGUGUAGCGGUGGAAUGCGUAGAUAU